CCUUGCUCGCCUCAUGGCCGGCUAUAUAAUGGUCCAGCUCCGGCCAAGGCCCCUACCUCCAAGCACAACGAACAGAUCGAGAUCCAGAGAGAGAAGAGAUUACAGGCACAUACUGAGAGAAAAUGCCGCUGACUGGUGAGGUGAAGUGGUUCAACGAGUCCAAGGGAUUCGGCUUCAUCACCCCCGAGGACGGCAGCAAGGACGUCUUCGUCCACUUCUCGGCAAUCACCGACGUCGGCUUCAAGACCCUCGCCGAGGGCCAGCGUGUGGAAUUCACCAUCGAAACCGGCGCAAAAGGUCCGUCCGCCGCCAAUGUCAGGGCCAUAUAGGAGGACUAUACUAUCGGCAUCCUUUUGUAAUUUGCUUC
This 367-nucleotide non-coding RNA is filed under the name Hordeum vulgare subsp. vulgare (domesticated barley). RNAcentral describes it as "cspA thermoregulator". It matches the Rfam family "cspA thermoregulator", at positions 114 to 428 of the family's 428-position model. The record is from Rfam by way of RNAcentral. Lineage: Eukaryota; Viridiplantae; Streptophyta; Magnoliopsida; Poales; Poaceae.